Molecule: ribosomal RNA, 399 nt
Filed under: uncultured bacterium
Lineage: Bacteria
Description: bacterial SSU rRNA
Rfam family: Bacterial small subunit ribosomal RNA
Source: RNAcentral
GGAAUAUUGCACAAUGGGGGAAACCCUGAUGCAGCGACGCCGCGUGGAGGAAGAAGGUCUUCGGAUUGUAAACUCCUGUUGUUGAGGAAGAUAAUGACGGUACUCAACAAGGAAGUGACGGCUACAUACGUGCCAGCAGCCGCGGUACAACGUAGGUCACAAGCGUUGUCCGGAAUUACUGGGUGUAAAGGGAGCGCAGGCGGGAAGACAAGUUGGAAGUGAAAUCCAUGGGCUCAACCCAUGAACUGCUUUAAAAACUGUUUUUCUUGAGUAGUGCAGAGGUAGGCGGAAUUCCCGGUGUAGCGGUGGAAUGCGUAGAUAUCGGGAGGAACACCAGUGGCGAAGGCGGCCUACUGGGCACCAACUGACGCUGAGGCUCGAAAGUGUGGGUAGCAAACA